GAUGAACGCUGGCGGCGUGCCUAAUACAUGCAAGUCGAGCGAACAGACGAGGAGCUUGCUCCUCUGACGUUAGCGGCGGACGGGUGAGUAACACGUGGAUAACCUACCUAUAAGACUGGGAUAACUUCGGGAAACCGGAGCUAAUACCGGAUAAUAUAUUGAACCGCAUGGUUCAAUAGUGAAAGACGGUUUUGCUGUCACUUCUAGAUGGAUCCGCGCCGCAUUAGCUAGUUGGUAAGGUAACGGCUUACCAAGGCAACGAUGCGUAGCCGACCUGAGAGGGUGAUCGGCCACACUGGAACUGGGACACGGUCCAGACUCCUACGGGAGGCAGCAGUAGGGAAUCUUCCGCAAUGGGCGAAAGCCUGACGGAGCAACGCCGCGUGAGUGAUGAAGGUCUUCGGAUCGUAAAACUCUGUUAUUAGGGAAGAACAAAUGUGUAAGUAACUAUGCACGUCUUGACGGUACCUAAUCAGAAAGCCACGGCUAACUACGUG
RNAcentral lists this ribosomal RNA (497 nucleotides) under uncultured bacterium. Its description in RNAcentral is "partial 16S ribosomal RNA". It matches the Rfam family "Bacterial small subunit ribosomal RNA", at positions 28 to 507 of the family's 1533-position model. The record is from RNAcentral.